UACGUAGGGAGCAGGCGUUAUCCGGAUUUACUGGGUGUAAAGGGCGCGUAGGCGGGAUGGCAAGUCAGAUGUGAAAUCCAGGGGCUCAACCCCUGAACUGCAUUUGAAACUGUCGUUCUUGAGUACUGGAGAGGUUGACGGAAUUCCUAGUGUAGCGGUGAAAUGCGUAGAUAUUAGGAGGAACACCAGUGGCGAAGGCGGUCAACUGGACAGCAACUGACGCUGAGGCGCGAAAGCGUGGGGAGCAAACAGG
This 253-nucleotide ribosomal RNA is filed under the name uncultured bacterium. RNAcentral's name for it is "partial 16S ribosomal RNA". It matches the Rfam family "Bacterial small subunit ribosomal RNA", at positions 524 to 776 of the family's 1533-position model. The record is from RNAcentral.